Tympanuchus pallidicinctus (lesser prairie-chicken) is the source of this 702-nucleotide long non-coding RNA. RefSeq lists it as uncharacterized. The transcript has 6 exons. NCBI's taxonomy places the organism in Eukaryota, Metazoa, Chordata, Aves, Galliformes, Phasianidae. The record is from RefSeq and is a predicted model, not a curated record.
CUCUGUUGUCCCUGCAGGGCUCUGCUCUUGGGAACCUGAGCCUACUCUGGGUUAAGUUUCUUCUUCUUUCCAUCCCUGCCAUACUUCACAGCUGAUCACUGUCCAGAGAUGACUGUCCUUUUCCUUGUGAUUUCUUGCUUAUGCACCUCUUGAGGCUGUAAAUGUGAUAUAUUGGAGUUGAUCUGGAAUAUAAUCUGCUAUUCAGAAGUGUGCUUAUCCAGUCCAGAGUGAUGAAGUUGAGAGAGUGGUGGGAUGUGGAUUACAGCUGCGUAAGAACAAAUCAGGAAUCGUGUCCAAGAUUAUUCCUAGCAACUGCCCCUCUCUGAUCACCAGCCAUGAAGAUCCAAUCUGGAUUUAAAGAAGACAAGAAUGACAACUUCAGAUUGUGAGAUGAGAAGCAGACAAAAAGAAGGAAGAAAGCACAAGAAUGAUUGGACUUUCAGCGUAUCACCUUCCAAAUGAUCUCUGCACAAAGGGACUUUAUUCAAUUCAUUGUUCUCUGAAAAUCAGAUUGUAUUGUAUUUGCAGAACAAUAGGUAAGCUCUUCUGUAUUUAAUACGUGUAGAUGCUUAUAGGUACAUAUAGGGAAAAAGAUAUUCUUAUAUACUGUGUUGCUCUUUAAAGAUUAAAGUGUUGUUUUUGUUUUUGUUUUUUUCUUCAGUGUAUACUGCAUUGAGCUUACAUUUUUAUUGAUACUCCUCU